AGAGUUGUAUCUCAAUGGUAGAACAUCUGCUUUACAUGCAGAAGGUCCAGGGUUCAAUCCAUAGCUGUCAACUUUU
This is a non-coding RNA of Podarcis lilfordi (Lilford's wall lizard), 76 nucleotides long. The record is from the annotation of a GenBank genome assembly. Lineage: Eukaryota; Metazoa; Chordata; Lepidosauria; Squamata; Lacertidae.